This 467-nucleotide ribosomal RNA is filed under the name uncultured bacterium. RNAcentral describes it as "partial 16S ribosomal RNA". It matches the Rfam family "Bacterial small subunit ribosomal RNA", at positions 28 to 506 of the family's 1533-position model. The record is from RNAcentral.
GACGAACGCUGGCGGCGUGCUUAACACAUGCAAGUCGAACGGAAAGGCCCUGCUUUUGUGGGGUGCCCGAGUGGCGAACGGGUGAGUAACACGUGAGUAACCUGCCCUUGACUUUGGGAUAACUUCAGGAAACUGGGGCUAAUAUCGGACAGGAGCUCCCGUUGCAUGGUGGGGGUUGGAAAGUCUCGGCGGUUGGGGAUGGACUCGCGGCUGAUCAGCUUGCUGGUGGGGUAGUGGCGUACCAAGGCAUGGACGGGUAGCCGGCCUGGGAGGGUGACCGGCCACAGUGGCACAGGGGUACGGCCCAGACGGCUACGGGGGGCAGCAGUGGAAGAUAUUGCACGAUGGGCGGAGGCGUGGUACAGCAACGCCGCGUGCGAGAUGACGUCCGUCGGGUUGGAAACCGCUUUCGCCUAUGACGAGGCGUGAGUGACGGUAAUAAAGAAAGAGGCACCGGCUAACUACGU